RNAcentral lists this ribosomal RNA (482 nucleotides) under uncultured bacterium. RNAcentral describes it as "partial 16S ribosomal RNA". It matches the Rfam family "Bacterial small subunit ribosomal RNA", at positions 28 to 507 of the family's 1533-position model. The record is from RNAcentral.
GAUGAACGCUAGCGGCAGGCCUAAUACAUGCAAGUCGGACGGGAUUCCGGAGCUUGCUUCUGAUGAGAGUGGCGCACGGGUGCGUAACACGUAUGUAACCUACCUUUAUCAGGGGGAUAGCCUCUCGAAAGAGAGAUUAAGCCCGCAUAAAAUCACAGCACAGCAUUGUGUAAUGAUCAAAUAUUUAUAGGAUAAAGAUGGGCAUGCGGAACAUUAGCUAGAUGGCGUGGUAACGUCCCACCAUGGCGACGAUGUUUAGGGGAUCUGAGAGGAUGGCCCCCAACACUGGUAAGGAGAAACGGACCAGAAUAAGACGGGAGGCAGCAGAAAGGAAGAUAGGGCAAUGGGCGGAAGCAUGAACCAGCCAGGCCGCGUGCAGGAAGACGGCCAUACGGGUUGUAAACUGCUUUUAUACGGGAAUAAACCCAGAUACGUGUAUCUGGCUGAAUGUACUGUAAGAAUAAGGAUCGGCUAACUACGUG